AGGAUGAACGCUGGCGGCGUGCCUAAUACAUGCAAGUCGAACGAGCUCUUCGGAGCUAGUGGCGGACGGGUGAGUAACACGUUGGUACCUACCCCGAAGUGGGGAAUAACUGCCCGAAAGGGUGGCUAAUACCGCAUAAUACCGCAAGGUUAAAGCGAGUAAUCGCGCUUCGGGAGGGGCCUGCGUCCCAUUAGCUAGUUGGUAGGGUAAUGGCCUACCAAGGCGACGAUGGGUAGCUGGGUCGAGAGGUUGACCAGCCACACUGGGACUGAGAUACGGCCCCAGACUCCUACGGGAGGCAGCAGUAAGGAAUCUUCCACAAUGGACGAAAGUCUGAUGGAGCAACGCCGCGUGCAGGAUGACGGUCUUCGGAUUGUAAACUGUCUUUUAUAUGGGAAGAUUAUGACGGUACCAUAUAGAAUAAGGACCGGACUAACUACGUGCCAGCAGCCGC
Molecule: ribosomal RNA, 454 nt
Filed under: uncultured bacterium
Lineage: Bacteria
Description: SSU rRNA
Rfam family: Bacterial small subunit ribosomal RNA
Source: RNAcentral